GCGGUCCAUUGCGUGAUGUUGUAUCUGGAGGAAUUUAUAGAAAGUUUGGACAGUUUACCUGGAGAAAUUGCUCAUAAUCUUAAAGGAAUUAACAGAUUAGAUAAUCAAGUAGAGGGCGUUAUUGUUGCUCUAGAAGAAAGAAUUUAUGACAAUUUUUUUGUAAUAAAAAAACAAAAAACGGACACGAAGACCGAAAUCAUUAACUCUAUAAGGGAAGAUUACGAAAAGGCGCUUAAAUAUUCUGACGAAAAAAUAAACUUAGCUAUUCAGAAUCUCAACUUAUUAGAGCGGCACACCAAAAGGCUAGAGCUAGAUCUUAAUAAGUUUACUCAAGAAUUAGAAGCACAGA
Long non-coding RNA from Zophobas morio, 349 nucleotides. RefSeq lists it as uncharacterized. NCBI's taxonomy places the organism in Eukaryota, Metazoa, Arthropoda, Insecta, Coleoptera, Tenebrionidae. The record is from RefSeq and is a predicted model, not a curated record. The transcript has 4 exons.